Molecule: transfer RNA, 72 nt
Filed under: Serratia marcescens
Lineage: Bacteria; Pseudomonadati; Pseudomonadota; Gammaproteobacteria; Enterobacterales; Yersiniaceae
Description: tRNA-Asn
Rfam family: tRNA
About the family: Transfer RNA (tRNA) molecules are approximately 80 nucleotides in length.
Source: RNAcentral
CCUCUGUAGUUCAGUCGGUAGAACGGCGGACUGUUAAUCCGUAUGUCACUGGUUCCGAGUCAGUCAGAGGCC